This 98-nucleotide transfer RNA is filed under the name Armatimonadota bacterium. Its description in RNAcentral is "Armatimonadetes bacterium (groundwater metagenome) tRNA-Sec". It matches the Rfam family "Selenocysteine transfer RNA". Lineage: Bacteria; Bacillati; Armatimonadota. The record is from RNAcentral.
GGAGGCGCACCUCUUCUGGUGAAGGGCCUGGGCUUCAAACCCUGCGUGGGGCGGCGAGAGUCGUCCCGGGUGAGUUCGAUUCUCACACGCCUCCGCCA